AAGUCGUAACAAGGUUUCCGUAGGUGAACCUGCGGAAGGAUCAUUAAUGAAAAGUUCUUUUGAACCAAUCAUAACACCCCAUUGUUUUAAUCCACCCCUUUUAUGCUUCCACUGGCCAGUGUUAAGCCCUUCGUCCCUUCAAUCUGACGUCGGUCUGACUUUGGGCAAGACCCUCCUUAAUGGGCUUCACAUUUCUGUGGAGUGUCCGGAGCGUGCCGGUGAAUGGCCUACCAAAAAAAAAAAUACUUGAAUAUGAGAAAUACUGUCUGAAUCAAAUCUUUUUUAUAAAUAAUUAUAAAACUUUCAACAACGGAUCUCUAGGCUCUU
This 327-nucleotide unclassified non-coding RNA is filed under the name Peziza varia. Its description in RNAcentral is "partial internal transcribed spacer region". The stretch from base 1 to 46 matches the Rfam family "Eukaryotic small subunit ribosomal RNA", at positions 1786 to 1831 of the family's 1831-position model. Lineage: Eukaryota; Fungi; Ascomycota; Pezizomycetes; Pezizales; Pezizaceae. The record is from RNAcentral.